This 1455-nucleotide long non-coding RNA is filed under the name Homo sapiens (human). RNAcentral describes it as "HSALNT0300301". The record is from RNAcentral. Lineage: Eukaryota; Metazoa; Chordata; Mammalia; Primates; Hominidae.
AAGGACGGACUUGUCCGGAAUCAAACUGCAUCUUAAUAUUAUAAUGCGGCACCAAAAGCAAAACCCGAGGCCCCGGCUUGCAGUCCCUAACAAGAAACACAUUGUGUGCACUUUUUCUUUUUUGGCUCAAGCCACGUUCGCGCGCCGGCCCCUCCGCAGCGAGCCAAGUCCAUGACUUCAGUGAGGAGGAACCCGCCUGCCUCGCACCACGUGCGCUCCCAGCUGGGGCAGCCGCCCUGUGAGCCCUGUCCCGGUCCCUGGGACGGGCUAGGGCCUGGCCGGGACGCGCUUGUCCUGGGCACAGGACAAGGGCUUUGGGGCACAGCCCUUUCUCGGCCGGGGAGGCAGGCGAACCGAUCGCCCGGGCACUGGUGUUACCCAGGCGGCGCCAGCGCGAGUUGGCUGGUGGACAGGAUUCUGUGUGAAGAAUACAGAGACAGACGUUCCAUUUCAAAGAAAAAAGAGCAACACGAAGGCCCUCUUUAAGGAGAGAGUAAACAUUCACUUUAGGUAAAAAAUAGUCUUUUACACGCCUGUGCACGGCACACCUCUUUUGCUGUUCACCUUGAGCCCAAGAGUUUGGAAAGGCUGCCCCCAUUUCAGAGAGGAAGAAACGCAGGCACACGUGAAUGACAGACUCCUCUGUGGUGGCCUAGACUCCAGCCAACACUUCCUAGGACAGCCUGCCAUUGUGCAAAGUCACCAUGUAACAAAUGCAGACAUCUCUGAGAUCACCAUGCAGUGAGGAAGUCUAAGCUGGUGGCAUGAAGAGGCCACAUGGAAAGGGCUAAAAAAGGGGCCAGCCUCAGUCAUCCCAGCUGAGCACCUGGCUGGGAAUAAAAGAGGACUCCGUGGAUGUCCAGCCCAGUAAGAUGACCUCAGCCCCAGCCACCAACUGACCAAGCACACAAGACAUCGUGAGGCUGCCUGCUGGAGCCUGGCCAGUGGGACUGUAGAGUAACUCAUUGUCGUGCAGGAACUCCUGGGAUGGUGUUGCCCAGUGACACAAUCCCAGUGUGGCCAUUUCUGAUCCCGAGAAAGCAGUCAGGAGUGGGUGGAUGCAGUUACAGUUCAUCAAGUCCUGCUAGUUCAAGUCAUGAGUCCUGAAUUCUCCAGGAGGAGCCACUAAAGAAAUGCAGAAGCAGGCAAUCCUUGCAAUAAGGCCAGCAAACUGCCAGUGUGAAGGAUGCCCAGGUAACCUGCCCAUGCCAGAACGGCCAGGAGAUGGUGGAACCAGAAUCUAAGCCCACGCCCAUCUGACCUCAAAGUCUGUGCUCCUGAGGUUCGCACCGAGUUGCCUCCUAAGACUUGCUGAAACUGGAUCACGUCCAUUUACCCAUCUCUGAGAGAAAUGCAAGCUUUAAAAAAGGAAAUAUUUACUAUGGAUAUUUUACAAUAGUUCCAAAACAUGAAAGUUUUAAAUAAGAUAUUCUUAACCAUCCUCACCACAUCUUC